UACGUAGGGACCAAGCGUUGUUCGGAUUUACUGGGCGUAAAGGGCGCGUAGGCGGCGCGGUAAGUCACUUGUGAAAUCUCUGAGCUUAACUCAGAACGGCCAAGUGAUACUGCGGUGCUAGAGUGUGGAAGGGGCAAUCGGAAUUCUUGGUGUAGCGGUGAAAUGCGUAGAUAUCAAGAGGAACACCUGAGGUGAAGACGGGUUGCUGGGCCAACACUGACGCUGAGGCGCGAAAGCCAGGGGAGCAAACGGG
This 253-nucleotide ribosomal RNA is filed under the name uncultured bacterium. RNAcentral describes it as "partial 16S ribosomal RNA". It matches the Rfam family "Bacterial small subunit ribosomal RNA", at positions 524 to 776 of the family's 1533-position model. The record is from RNAcentral.